RNAcentral lists this ribosomal RNA (553 nucleotides) under Clostridiales bacterium oral taxon 402. Its description in RNAcentral is "bacterial SSU rRNA". It matches the Rfam family "Bacterial small subunit ribosomal RNA", at positions 523 to 1072 of the family's 1533-position model. The record is from RNAcentral. Lineage: Bacteria; Bacillati; Bacillota; Clostridia; Eubacteriales.
AUACGUAGGGGGCGAGCGUUGUCCGGAAUGAUUGGGCGUAAAGGGCGCGUAGGCGGCUACGGAAGUCUGGAGUGGAAGUCCUAUUUUCAAGGUAGGAAUUGCUUUGGAAACUCCGCAGCUUGAGUGCAGGAGAGGUUAUCGGAAUUCCCGGUGUAGCGGUGAAAUGCAUAGAGAUCGGGAGGAACACCAGUGGCGAAGGCGGGUAACUGGACUGCAACUGACGCUGAGGCGCGAAAGUGUGGGGAGCAAACAGGAUUAGAUACCCUGGUAGUCCACACUGUAAACGAUGAAUGCUAGGUGUAGGUGGUAUCGACCCCAUCUGUGCCGUCGUAAACACAAUAAGCAUUCCGCCUGGGGAGUACGGUCGCAAGAUUAAAACUCAAAGGAAUUGACGGGGGCCCGCACAAGCAGCGGAGCAUGUGGUUUAAUUCGAAGCAACGCGAAGAACCUUACCAGGUCUUGACAUCCGCUUUAGGCAUAUAGAGAUAUAUGUGGAACUUCGGUUCAAAGCGAGACAGGUGGUGCAUGGUUGUCGUCAGCUCGUGUCGUGAGA